GAUGAACGCUGGCGGCGUGCCUAAUACAUGCAAGUCGAGCGAACAGACGAGGAGCUUGCUCCUCUGACGUUAGCGGCGGACGGGUGAGUAACACGUGGAUAACCUACCUAUAAUACUGGUAUAACUUCGGGACACCGGAGCUAAUACCGGAUAAUAUAUUGAACCGCAUGGUUCAAUAGUGAAAGUCGGUUUUUCUGUCACUUCUCGAUGGAUCCGCGCCGCAUUAGCUAGUUGUUAGGGUAACGGCUUACCACGGCUACGAUGCGUAGCCGACGUGAGAGGGGGAUAGGCCACACUGGAGCUGAGACAGGGACAAGACGACUAAGGGAGGCAGCAGAAGGGUAUGUUACGCAGUGGGCGAAAGCUUGACGGAGCAAGGGCGCGUGAGAGAUGGAGGUGUUCGGAGCGUAAAAAUCUGUUAUUAGGGAAGAACAGAUGUGGAAGUAGCUAUGCACGGCUUGACGGUACCUAGUAAGAAAGCCACGGCUAACUACGUG
This 497-nucleotide ribosomal RNA is filed under the name uncultured bacterium. Its description in RNAcentral is "partial 16S ribosomal RNA". It matches the Rfam family "Bacterial small subunit ribosomal RNA", at positions 28 to 507 of the family's 1533-position model. The record is from RNAcentral.